This 450-nucleotide long non-coding RNA is filed under the name Homo sapiens (human). RNAcentral's name for it is "HSALNT0291599". The record is from RNAcentral. Lineage: Eukaryota; Metazoa; Chordata; Mammalia; Primates; Hominidae.
CUGAGGAGUGUCUCUGCCCGACCGCCACCCCAUCUGGGAGGCCCAGCAUCCAAUUCAGUCGCCUUCAAGGAGUCUCUUCAGUCUAAUUUAUUCUAGAACAAUUCUUCAGGCUUCCCUUCUCUGGCCAAGAUUUUUGAAAAAUACAGGUCAAUGACUUUGUAGGUUGUCUUCAGUUUGGAUUUGUCUGCUGUGUCCUCAUGAUUUAUGCAUCUCUGGCAGGAAUACCACAGAAACGAUGCGACAUUCUUCUCAGUGUACCAUAUUAGGAGUCACACAAUGUCAACUUGUCCCAUUACUGCUGAUGUUAAUGUUUACCACUUGGCUAAGAUGAUGUCUGCCAGGUUUCUCCACUGGAAAGUUAACAGUGGCUGACGCUUCGUGAGCGAUGCUGGUUGUCACCAAGUCACUGGUGAAACUGGGAGAGCGCCCCUGGUGAGACGGUGUGAGGAU